RNAcentral lists this transfer RNA (73 nucleotides) under Aspergillus flavus. Its description in RNAcentral is "tRNA-Gln". RNAcentral also lists the same sequence under 1 other name. The record is from RNAcentral. Lineage: Eukaryota; Fungi; Ascomycota; Eurotiomycetes; Eurotiales; Aspergillaceae.
UAUGUUGUUGACUAAUCGGUAAGUCCUAAAUUUUUGGUAUUUAUUAUUGGGUGUUCGAAUCGCCCCAACAUAA